UAUUUAUAUAGUUAAACUGCACCGGUGCAUGAUGGUUAUGUUCUUCAAAAGGCUGUGGCAACAUCUCCAAUUGGAGGAGAAUUUCUUACAGACUGCUUGAUGAAAAGCUUGGAAAGCAAGGGUAUUGUGAUGAAACCUCGAUAUUCCUUUAGGAGAAAGGAAAUUCGCCCGGGAGAUUUUCAGGUAUUAUGUGUUUUCAUGUUUGUGACCUGUUAGUAACAUAUAUAUUUUCUUCCACUUUCUUGCAAUAAUGUGAGUGUAAGUAUCAAUGAUUCCACCACCCUGCCACCGCCUCCCACACAAUAAAGUUGAACCUCGACAAUAUGGGAUUCCAGACCCUGUAUAAAUUUCUUAAAUGUUGUUCUGUUCAUCAAUCAAUCAAAAGUUAGAACAUUUGCAUGUGGCAGUACACUACUUCUAUGUGAAUUGAGCUGAUUAAUUUCUGACCUGUUGUUACUUGAAGUAAGUAGGA
Molecule: non-coding RNA, 472 nt
Organism: Cicer arietinum (chickpea)
Lineage: Eukaryota; Viridiplantae; Streptophyta; Magnoliopsida; Fabales; Fabaceae
Source: RefSeq, a predicted model, not a curated record